Nomascus leucogenys (northern white-cheeked gibbon) is the source of this 823-nucleotide long non-coding RNA. RefSeq lists it as uncharacterized. Lineage: Eukaryota; Metazoa; Chordata; Mammalia; Primates; Hylobatidae. The transcript has 2 exons. The record is from RefSeq and is a predicted model, not a curated record.
GAGCCUGGCGGAGAAGCAGAGGAGAGGGACGCUGGAAGCAUGUUUGGCCCGGGACAGAAAUCUGGAGGGCUUGGCUACCUUCAUCCUCCUCAGGCCGGAGCAGGCUUCCUGAGAGAGUCCAGGUCGUAGGAGUUUUACGACUUAGAAAAGCGGGCUGCAGAUUCCUUCCUGGGUGUUUUGUUCAAGCCUUGGCUCCGGCCUUACUCUCAGUCUUCCCAGGAGUUCAUGGGAUUUGGACCCUAGAUUAUUAGUAUUAUUUUGAGGGCCUCCUGUGUGUAAGCACUGGUUGUGCGCAGAUGGCUGUGCAGAGCGCCGUGAGGUAGAGGCUGGGGAAAUGAGGGCUUUGGAGGUGCUUGAGGUGUGGUCUUUACCUACGUGAAAUGUUGGAGGUUGAGAUGAAAACUCUUGCUUUGAAUUCUUCAUGGAGGACUACAUCAUUUCAAUCCUGAAUCUGGCUCAAUUCUAUUAUUCACUUAUUAUUGUAUUAAAAACGUUUAAUUGGCCGGGCACAAUGGUUCACGCCUGUAGUCCCAGCACUUUGGGAGGCCAAGGCAGGCAGAUCACUUGAGGUCAGAAGUUCGACACCAGCCUGGCCAACAUGGCAAAACCCCGCCUCUACUAAAAAUACAAAAAUUAGCCAGGCGUGGUGGCACGCGCCUGUAAUCACAGCUACUUGGGAGGCUGAGGUGGGAGAACUGUUUGAACCCAGGAGGUGGAGGUUGCAGUGAGCCGAGAUCACGCCACUGCACUCAAGCCUUGGCAUCAGAGUGAGACUCUGUCUCAGUAAAAAAAUAAAAAAUAAAAAAAGUUUAAUUAACCAUGA